This 252-nucleotide ribosomal RNA is filed under the name uncultured bacterium. RNAcentral describes it as "partial 16S ribosomal RNA". It matches the Rfam family "Bacterial small subunit ribosomal RNA", at positions 524 to 776 of the family's 1533-position model. The record is from RNAcentral.
UACGUAGGUCCCGAGCGUUGUCCGGAUUUAUUGGGCGUAAAGCGAGCGCAGGUGGUUUAUUAAGUCUGGUGUAAAAGGCAGUGGCUCAACCAUUGUAUGCAUUGGAAACUGGUAGACUUGAGUGCAGGAGAGGAGAGUGGAAUUCCAUGUGUAGCGGUGAAAUGCGUAGAUAUAUGGAGGAACACCGGUGGCGAAGGCGGCCUGCUGGGCUUUUACUGACACUGAGGCUCGAAAGUGUGGGGAGCAAACAGG